GGCAACCGUGUUGAGGGUGUCCCUGUGUGUGUGUGUGUGUGUGUGUGUGUGCGCUCAGGGUGAUGCUGAUGCUGCACACACAAAC
Molecule: microRNA precursor, 85 nt
Filed under: Ochotona princeps (American pika)
Lineage: Eukaryota; Metazoa; Chordata; Mammalia; Lagomorpha; Ochotonidae
Description: miRNA (ENSOPRG00000019179.1)
Source: RNAcentral